RNAcentral lists this ribosomal RNA (613 nucleotides) under uncultured bacterium. Its description in RNAcentral is "bacterial SSU rRNA". It matches the Rfam family "Bacterial small subunit ribosomal RNA", at positions 338 to 943 of the family's 1533-position model. The record is from RNAcentral.
CCUACGGGAGGCAGCAGUGGGGAAUUUUGGACAAUGGGGGAAACCCUGAUCCAGCAAUGCCGCGUGUGCGAAGAAGGCCUUCGGGUUGUAAAGCACUUUUAUUCGGAGAGAAAUCCCUUGGGCUAAUACCCUGAGGGUCUGACGGUACCGGAUGAAUAAGCGCCGGCUAACUACGUGCCAGCAGCCGCGGUAAUACGUAGGGCGCGAGCGUUAAUCGGAAUUACUGGGCGUAAAGCGUGCGCAGGCGGUUUUGUAAGACAGAUGUGAAAGCCCCGGGCUCAACCUGGGAAUUGCAUUUGUGACUGCAAGGCUAGAGUGUGUCAGAGGGAGGUGGAAUUCCGCGUGUAGCAGUGAAAUGCGUAGAGAUGCGGAGGAACACCGAUGGCGAAGGCAGCCUCCUGGGAUAACACUGACGCUCAUGCACGAAAGCGUGGGGAGCAAACAGGAUUAGAUACCCUGGUAGUCCACGCCCUAAACGAUGUCAACUAGUUGUCGGGAAUUAAAUUUCUUGGUAACGCAGCUAACGCGUGAAGUUGACCGCCUGGGGAGUACGGCCGCAAGGUUAAAACUUAAGAUAGUCGCGNGNGAGNGCGACGACGACGACGAGGAGGAG